AGUACGUCGCACCACGUCUAAUCUUCAUUUACCAAGUGCUGACCUUUGGAUUGGUCAACACACGUACGUUGGGUGUUACGUCGAUGUAGCUGAAUACCGUGUCCUUCCACAUGGCUUGAUGAUUGACAAUAUACGCAUGACAGCCGAAACCUGCAAACUGCAUUGCCAAGGAAAAGAUUAUCCCUACUUUGGAACUCAGAAUGGAAAAGAAUGCUUCUGUGGGAAUGGCCUUAGACCUGGGACGAGCCCGGCACCAGAAACUGAAUGCUCUAUGCCAUGUACAGGAGA
Long non-coding RNA from Haliotis rubra (blacklip abalone), 288 nucleotides. RefSeq lists it as uncharacterized. Lineage: Eukaryota; Metazoa; Mollusca; Gastropoda; Lepetellida; Haliotidae. The record is from RefSeq and is a predicted model, not a curated record. The transcript has 3 exons.